Long non-coding RNA from Engraulis encrasicolus (European anchovy), 664 nucleotides. RefSeq lists it as uncharacterized. NCBI's taxonomy places the organism in Eukaryota, Metazoa, Chordata, Actinopteri, Clupeiformes, Engraulidae. The transcript is spliced from 3 exons. The record is from RefSeq and is a predicted model, not a curated record.
UCAAGUUCGUAAAAAAGUACCAUUGUAUGAGUGUAGAAAGGGCUAUGGGCAUUUAGUUGUUUUCACUGGUUAUUUUCAUGCACUUCCUUAGUUUAGCUAUAGGACUCUUAUUUUGACAUCGCUAGUUCAGGAUGUGACAUUACGCAUCCCUCCAUCUUUGUUUUUAGUUCAGAUGCAUUGAUUUUGCCUUACCUAACUUCCGAAAGUUUCCUCCUUUUAUCUUAAGUAAUCCUGUGUUUGUGAGCAUAAAUGACCAAAACCAGCCUAUGAUCACAGGUGAUGCAGUGAUUGGUGAUGGCUAUGGUUUUCUUCCCACUGAACUAAACAUGCUAAAACGGAAAAGAAGACAAGAGGACGUGUCAUCCAUGGCAGUGUGUCAUUCUCCCGCUGAUGGUCCACUUUGCAGAGAAAUAUGAGGGGCUCAUUGUACUGGUUAAUGUCUUCCCAGUGGUGAUGUAGAGCUGAUGUGGAGGCAACAGUGCUGCUUCCUUCGUCCUUCCUUUCUUCAAGACCUGCGUUUUUUGUCUUUUGCCAAACUUUAGGCAGUAUCUUAUACAGUAGAAACUAAGCCUAACACUUGAAGCCCCGUAGGCGUUGCUUGACUGACACCAAUCUGACGAGCUUGCUCAGCCGGUGGAAUCUCUUGUAUACAUGAAUAAGCAAA